This 200-nucleotide ribosomal RNA is filed under the name uncultured bacterium. Its description in RNAcentral is "partial 16S ribosomal RNA". It matches the Rfam family "Bacterial small subunit ribosomal RNA", at positions 30 to 228 of the family's 1533-position model. The record is from RNAcentral.
AUUGAACGCUGGCGGCGUGCCUAACACAUGCAAGUCGAGCGGUAACAGGUGUAGCAAAACAUGCUGACGAGCGGCGGACGGGUGAGUAACGCUUGGGAAUCUGCCUGUUAGUGGGGGACAACCCGGGGAAACUCGGGCUAAUACCGCAUACGCACUAUGGUGGAAAGCCGGGGACCGCAAGGCCUGGCACUAACAGAUGA